RNAcentral lists this ribosomal RNA (449 nucleotides) under Halomonas sp. RNAcentral's name for it is "bacterial SSU rRNA". It matches the Rfam family "Bacterial small subunit ribosomal RNA", at positions 30 to 473 of the family's 1533-position model. The record is from RNAcentral. Lineage: Bacteria; Pseudomonadati; Pseudomonadota; Gammaproteobacteria; Oceanospirillales; Halomonadaceae.
AUUGAACGCUGGCGGCAGGCCUAACACAUGCAAGUCGAGCGGUAACAGGGGUAGCUUGCUACCCGCUGACGAGCGGCGGACGGGUGAGUAAUGCAUAGGAAUCUGCCCGGUAGUGGGGGAUAACCUGGGGAAACCCAGGCUAAUACCGCAUACGUCCUACGGGAGAAAGGGGGCUCCGGCUCCCGCUAUUGGAUGAGCCUAUGUCGGAUUAGCUAGUUGGUGAGGUAAAGGCUCACCAAGGCAACGAUCCGUAGCUGGUCUGAGAGGAUGAUCAGCCACAUCGGGACUGAGACACGGCCCGAACUCCUACGGGAGGCAGCAGUGGGGAAUAUUGGACAAUGGGGGCAACCCUGAUCCAGCCAUGCCGCGUGUGUGAAGAAGGCCUUCGGGUUGUAAAGCACUUUCAGCGAGGAAGAACGCCUAGUGGUUUAAUACCCAUUAGGAAAGAC